RNAcentral lists this ribosomal RNA (248 nucleotides) under Staphylococcus aureus. RNAcentral describes it as "partial 23S ribosomal RNA". It matches the Rfam family "Bacterial large subunit ribosomal RNA", at positions 557 to 807 of the family's 2925-position model. The record is from RNAcentral. Lineage: Bacteria; Bacillati; Bacillota; Bacilli; Caryophanales; Staphylococcaceae.
CGUGUGCUUACAAGUAGUCAGAGCCCGUUAAUGGGUGAUGGCGUGCCUUUUGUAGAAUGAACCGGCGAGUUACGAUUUGAUGCAAGGUUAAGCAGUAAAUGUGGAGCCGUAGCGAAAGCGAGUCUGAAUAGGGCGUUUAGUAUUUGGUCGUAGACCCGAAACCAGGUGAUCUACCCUUGGUCAGGUUGAAGUUCAGGUAACACUGAAUGGAGGACCGAACCGACUUACGUUGAAAAGUGAGCGGAUGA